ACGGCUCAGUAACACGUGGACAACCUACCCAAAGGUCUGGGAUAACUCCGGGAAACUGGGGAUAAUACCGGAUAGGUCAAGAGUACUGGAAGGGUUUUUUGAUUGAAAGCUCUGGCGCCUUUGGAUGGGUCUGCGGCUGAUUAGGUUGACGCCGGUGUAAAGUACCGGCGUGCCGAUUAUCAGUACGGGUUGUGGGAGCAAGAGCCCGGAGAUGGAUUCUGAGACACGAAUCCAGGCCCUACGGGGCGCAGCAGGCGCGAAAACUCUACAAUGCAGGCAACUGCGAUAGGGGAACAUCGAGUGGCAUCUACAUUAGAUGUCUGUCCAGCUGUCUAAAAAACGGCUGUUAGCAAGGGCCGGGCAAGACCGGUGCCAGCCGCCGCGGUAAUACCGGCGGCUCGAGUGGUGGCCGAUAUUAUUGAGUCUAAAGGGUCCGUAGCCGGCUUUGCAAGUCUUGUGGGAAAUCCAGCGGCUUAACCGUUGGGCGUCUGCGGGAUACUACAUUGCUUGGGACUGGGAGAGGUAGGAGGUACUCAGGGGGUAGGAGUGAAAUCCUGUAAUCCUCUGGGGACCACCGGUGGCGAAGGCGUCCUACCAGAACAGGUCCGACGGUGAGGGACGAAAGCUAGGGGCACGAACCGGAUUAGAUACCCGGGUAGUCCUAGCCGUAAACGAUGCCCGCUAGGUGUCACGGCAGUCGUGAACUGCCGUGGUGCCGUAGGGAAGCCGUGAAGCGGGCCACUUGGGAAGUACGGCCGCAAGGCUGAAACUUAAAGGAAUUGGCGGGGGAGCAC
This 794-nucleotide ribosomal RNA is filed under the name uncultured archaeon. RNAcentral's name for it is "bacterial SSU rRNA". It matches the Rfam family "Archaeal small subunit ribosomal RNA", at positions 85 to 879 of the family's 1478-position model. The record is from RNAcentral.